RNAcentral lists this ribosomal RNA (671 nucleotides) under Brevundimonas sp. RNAcentral's name for it is "bacterial SSU rRNA". It matches the Rfam family "Bacterial small subunit ribosomal RNA", at positions 75 to 787 of the family's 1533-position model. Lineage: Bacteria; Pseudomonadati; Pseudomonadota; Alphaproteobacteria; Caulobacterales; Caulobacteraceae. The record is from RNAcentral.
ACUCUUCGGAGUUAGUGGCGGACGGGUGAGUAACACGUGGGAACGUGCCUUUUGGUUCGGAAUAGCUCCUGGAAACGGGUGGUAAUGCCGAAUGUGCCCUUCGGGGGAAAGAUUUAUCGCCAUUAGAGCGGCCCGCGUCUGAUUAGCUAGUUGGUGAGGUAAAGGCUCACCAAGGCUACGAUCAGUAGCUGGUCUGAGAGGAUGACCAGCCACAUUGGGACUGAGACACGGCCCAAACUCCUACGGGAGGCAGCAGUGGGGAAUCUUGCGCAAUGGGCGAAAGCCUGACGCAGCCAUGCCGCGUGUAUGAUGAAGGUCUUAGGAUUGUAAAAUACUUUCACCGGUGAAGAUAAUGACUGUAGCCGGAGAAGAAGCCCCGGCUAACUUCGUGCCAGCAGCCGCGGUAAUACGAAGGGGGCUAGCGUUGCUCGGAAUUACUGGGCGUAAAGGGAGCGUAGGCGGACAUUUAAGUCAGGGGUGAAAUCCCAGAGCUCAACUCUGGAACUGCCUUUGAUACUGGGUGUCUUGAGUGUGAGAGAGGUAUGUGGAACUCCGAGUGUAGAGGUGAAAUUCGUAGAUAUUCGGAAGAACACCAGUGGCGAAGGCGACAUACUGGCUCAUUACUGACGCUGAGGCUCGAAAGCGUGGGGAGCAAACAGGAUUAGAUACCC